UACGGAGGGUGCAAACGUUGCUCGGAAUCAUUGGGCGUAAAGCGCGUGUAGGCGGCUGGCUAAGUCGAGUGUGAAAGCCCUAGGCUCAACCUAGGAAGUGCGCUCGAAACUGGCCAGCUAGAGUACGGGAGAGGGUAGCGGAAUUCCCGGUGUAGAGGUGAAAUUCGUAGAUAUCGGGAGGAACACCAGUGGCGAAGGCGGCUACCUGGACCGAUACUGACGCUGAGACGCGAAAGCGUGGGUAGCAAACAGG
RNAcentral lists this unclassified non-coding RNA (253 nucleotides) under uncultured Myxococcales bacterium. Its description in RNAcentral is "contains 16S-23S intergenic spacer region". It matches the Rfam family "Bacterial small subunit ribosomal RNA", at positions 524 to 776 of the family's 1533-position model. The record is from RNAcentral. Lineage: Bacteria; Pseudomonadati; Myxococcota; Myxococcia; Myxococcales.